Molecule: ribosomal RNA, 339 nt
Filed under: Triticum aestivum (bread wheat)
Lineage: Eukaryota; Viridiplantae; Streptophyta; Magnoliopsida; Poales; Poaceae
Description: partial small subunit ribosomal RNA
Source: RNAcentral
AUGACCAGUAGCUCGAGUAGGAAGGGUGAGGGGCCAUCAAGAUCUAGCCGGCGGCAUUCUCCCUGGCGUCCGGACACAGAGGACUGGCCUCUGGUCAUUUGUCACCAGUUGGUGCCUCUUCCCUCCUUGUGCCACCGUCCUCCAUCUCCUCCGUCCCUCGAUUCAGCCAAGGCGACGGGGAUCAAGAUCCGGGGCGGCACACAUCAUCAUCCCGUUGCCCCUCUAACUACCACCGAGCCUAGAGAUGGCAGUAGCAAGGAGCAUGAGAGGGGUUACUGGAUCAGGUGGUCCGUGCUGAAGAAGAGGGCGUUUAUAUGGUUCAUGGCCUUGUUGUGGUAA